AAGUCGAACGAGCGAGAGAGAGCUUGCUUUCUCAAGCGAGUGGCGAACGGGUGAGUAACGCGUGAGGAACCUGCCUCAAAGAGGGGGACAACAGUUGGAAACGACUGCUAAUACCGCAUAAGCCCACGACCCGGCAUCGGGUAGAGGGAAAAGGAGCAAUCCGCUUUGAGAUGGCCUCGCGUCCGAUUAGCUAGUUGGUGAGGUAAUGGCCCACCAAGGCGACGAUCGGUAGCCGGACUGAGAGGUUGAACGGCCACAUUGGGACUGAGACACGGCCCAGACUCCUACGGGAGGCAGCAGUGGGGAAUAUUGCACAAUGGGGGAAACCCUGAUGCAGCGACGCCGCGUGGAGGAAGAAGGUCUUCGGAUUGUAAACUCCUGUUGUUGAGGAAGAUAAUGACGGUACUCAACAAGGAAGUGACGGCUAACUACGUGCCAGCAGCCGCGGUAAAACGUAGGUCACAAGCGUUGUCCGGAAUUACUGGGUGUAAAGGGAGCGCAGGCGGGAAGA
RNAcentral lists this ribosomal RNA (511 nucleotides) under uncultured bacterium. Its description in RNAcentral is "bacterial SSU rRNA". It matches the Rfam family "Bacterial small subunit ribosomal RNA", at positions 59 to 583 of the family's 1533-position model. The record is from RNAcentral.